Long non-coding RNA from Mauremys mutica (yellowpond turtle), 1338 nucleotides. RefSeq lists it as uncharacterized. Lineage: Eukaryota; Metazoa; Chordata; Testudines; Geoemydidae. The transcript is spliced from 5 exons. The record is from RefSeq and is a predicted model, not a curated record.
CCCCUUCUCCCCCGCGUAAUUCCCCCUUCCACUGACUCCACCUCAGCAUCCCUCGGCGGAGAAACCUGCCCGGCGGAGCCCGACCCGGGCUCUGCUCCAGCGCCAGUGCUGGCCUCAGGCUGCACCCUCCGGGCUCCGGCCGCUGGUCCCUGAGCAGAGCGGCGGGGCUGGCCCGGCUGCGAAAUAUUCCCGGCCUAAGCGGUCCCGACACCGGGAACCGCCUCGUUUGGCUGCUGAGAGGCUAGUAAGAUACGUGAGUUGUGUGUGUGCUGGCAGCAGGCGGGCUGAGACCGAGCCCUCGCCACUCUGCUGGUGGGCGAACGGUUCGUCCACCCUACGCCUCUCACCGUGGUGUCUGGGGCUAGAGGAGUCCUUGCAGCAGAGACUGCAACUGCAAACUUGUCUCAAGCCCCGCUGAUGCUACAGGACUGAAUACAGCCAGUCAGCUUGUGCAACCCCCAGCAUCUGAGCAUGUAUAACUGCAGACCUGAUUACUUUUUGUUUUUUAUAACUAGAAAAGAAAGCUGCAGUCGUCGUGCUCAAUCUAAGCAAUCUAAGUUCACAAGGGAGAUGCUCCUCAUUCUGAAUACAUUUAAAUGAGCUCGAACUCAGCUUAAGAGCAAAAGCAAUUGUUAUUUCUGAGCUUUCAGCUAGCAGUGGCCAUCUGAGAAGUGAGGUGCACCUAAGGGUUCACAAACAAAGGCAAGAUAACCAGCUCCUAGUGCUGAAGAGCGUCAGUGCCAGGGAUGUACCAUGCUAUAAUAGCACAUGAAGAAUCUGGUCUGGAUGUAUUGUAAGAUUAUAUGAGCAUGAGAAUUUUGUAGAUUCAUCUAUCACUGCACAUUGCCAUUCCCCAGUUUUCCCCAUAUUUUACCUACAUUAUCAGUGGCAUCCAAAUCGCAUCUUGAGGAUUUUGGUGAAGUGUGGUAAUCCGAGUCCUCGACCUUGAGAGGCACAGAUGGAGAUCACCAGCAACUGAUGGACCAUCUCAGAAUCUCAGGAACAUCAGAGGAUCUGACUCUCUACCGCCGAAGCAGGAGAUCAACAGAUCUGGGCUGAUGGAUCCUUUGAUGGAAUACAGGAAUCAGACAUCAGCAAUGGCAACAUUUGUGGAAUUUCAAAAUUCCAAAUUGGAAUCAAGAGUGAUAAACAUGACACUGAAUGUAGAAGCAGACAGCUAUAUCCAAUUUAAAGCUAGGAAUCUUGCAGGAGAAGCUUGUCUUCAUCUUCCUUGGAAUUUUGGGAAGAGUGCCAAAACUCAGAUGCUGAACUUUCCAAGCAAGAAAAACAUAAUUCUGAUCCAACUCAAAUGUAAGUUCUGUGGAAACUGAGCUGAAG